AAAUAGAUUCACAGUAGCAUUGCCUUCUCUCGUCUCAUUCAUCUAUUGACAUUACAAACAAGCAUGCACUAAGAUCAGUUAAUUUGUGCUCAACUGUUUUAAUAGUGAUAUUGUUUGAUGAAUUUAUUUAAAUCAUGAGAGCUGUUUCGGUUUAAGCAAAGACGUUGUUUUAUGUUUCAUAUGUUUAGAGUAAUUUGUGUGUUAGGUCAUCUUCAUUUAAUUAAAGGUCUCUUAAAGGAGAACCAUCCGGUUGGUUUUUAAUUCCUCUUUCAUAGAUCCAGUUAUUUUAAAGGACUAGCACGACUAUUGUUUCUAUAUUUUGUGGUGAAUUGCCCAGUGCUCUUUUUGUAUUGUGUGUAUUAAUAUUAAUA
Long non-coding RNA from Cyprinus carpio (common carp), 371 nucleotides. RefSeq lists it as uncharacterized. The transcript is spliced from 3 exons. The record is from RefSeq and is a predicted model, not a curated record. NCBI's taxonomy places the organism in Eukaryota, Metazoa, Chordata, Actinopteri, Cypriniformes, Cyprinidae.